Molecule: ribosomal RNA, 420 nt
Filed under: uncultured bacterium
Lineage: Bacteria
Description: bacterial SSU rRNA
Rfam family: Bacterial small subunit ribosomal RNA
Source: RNAcentral
AAUAUUGGACAAUGGGGGCAACCCUGAUCCAGCGACGCCGCGUGUGUGAAGAAGGCCUGCGGGUUGUAAAGCACUUUUAGUGGGGAUGAAAAGCCUUGUUCUAACAAAGCAGGGUCUUGACCUAACCCAAAGAAAAAGCACCGGCUAACUCUGUGCCAGCAGCCGCGGUAAUACGUAGGGGUCGAGCGUUGUCCGGAGUUACUGGGCGUAAAGCGUGCGCAGGCGGCGUCCUGCGCCCGGCGUGAAAGCCCCCGGCUCAACCGGGGAGGGUCGUCGGGGACGGGGACGCUUGAGGGUAUCAGGGGCUGGUGGAAUUCCCGGUGUAGUGGUGAAAUGCGUAGAGAUCGGGAGGAACACCCGUGGCGAAGGCGGCCAGCUGGGAUACACCUGACGCUGAGGCACGAAGGCGUGGGGAGCGAA